GUGCCAGCAGCCGCGGUAAAACGUAGGUGGCGAGCGUUAUCCGGAUUUACUGGGCGUAAAGGGUGUGCAGGCGGGAGGUCAAGUGGUGUAUGAAAUGGCCCGGCUUAACCGGGCAGCGGUAUGCCAGACUGGCCUUCUUGGGUGCGAGAGAGGGGCGUGGAAUUCCGGGUGUAGUGGUGAAAUGCGUAGAGAUCCGGAGGAACCCCAGAGGCGAAGGCGGCGCCCUGGCUCGCAACCGACGCUCAGACACGACAGCAUGGGGAGCGAACGGGAUUAGAAACCCCUGUAGUCC
RNAcentral lists this ribosomal RNA (292 nucleotides) under uncultured bacterium. Its description in RNAcentral is "partial 16S ribosomal RNA". It matches the Rfam family "Bacterial small subunit ribosomal RNA", at positions 505 to 796 of the family's 1533-position model. The record is from RNAcentral.